This 24-nucleotide transfer RNA is filed under the name Pseudohygrohypnum subarcticum x Pseudohygrohypnum neglectum. Its description in RNAcentral is "Pseudohygrohypnum sp. VEF-2021e x Pseudohygrohypnum sp. VEF-2021b partial tRNA-Leu". Lineage: Eukaryota; Viridiplantae; Streptophyta; Bryopsida; Hypnales; Pylaisiaceae. The record is from RNAcentral.
GCGUUAGUAAAUCCGUUGGCUUUA